Molecule: transfer RNA, 68 nt
Filed under: Dolichovespula lama
Lineage: Eukaryota; Metazoa; Arthropoda; Insecta; Hymenoptera; Vespidae
Description: tRNA-Pro
Source: RNAcentral
CAAAAAAUAGUUUAAAAAAAAUAUUAAUUUUGGAGAUUAAAGAUAUAAUAAAUAAAUUAUUUUUUUGA